UUAAAGUUUAAUAUACAAUUA
Caenorhabditis elegans is the source of this 21-nucleotide non-coding RNA. The record is from Ensembl. NCBI's taxonomy places the organism in Eukaryota, Metazoa, Nematoda, Chromadorea, Rhabditida, Rhabditidae.